This is a long non-coding RNA of Coturnix japonica (Japanese quail), 909 nucleotides long. RefSeq lists it as uncharacterized. Lineage: Eukaryota; Metazoa; Chordata; Aves; Galliformes; Phasianidae. The record is from RefSeq and is a predicted model, not a curated record.
UGUUGGUGUGCUUCCAAGCCGUGGCGCCUUCACUUUCAAAAGGAAAAGAAAACAACAAAAAUCAGCAGGAACAAACUAACUCAUGAAUAUGGAAGUUCUUAGAUUUUCACUAGCUACAGAAGAAUUGCUGGAAUUAGCUGGAAUAAAUUCACUGUCCAGUCUCCUCCGGAAAGCCUGUCUGCUUCUUUCAGCUCAAGUGACUAUCCAUUGCUAGAUGGUUUCCAUUAUGACUCCAGAAAUGACAUGUACACAGACAAGCCAACAAUAUGCCUCAGUGGCAAGGAAGGCUAAUGGUAUCCUGCCUGGGCCGCAUUAAGAAGAGCAUUGCCAGAAGUCAAGGCAAGGAAUCCUCCCCAUCUGCUCGGACCUGGUGAGGUCUCUGUAGCAAUAACUGUGUCCAGUUCUGGGCCUCUCAGUACAAGAGAGGAGUGGAGCUCCUGGAGUUAGUCCAUCCAAGGGCUACUAAAAUUGUUACAAGACUGGUGUAUAUCUCAGGUGAAGAAAGGCCAAGGGAGUUGUCCCCAUUCCGCCUGGAGAAGAGAAGGCUCAGGAGGAGCUGAUCUAUAUCUGAAUAUCUGAAGGGAGGAUUUCAAGAUGUUGGGGCCAGACUUUUCACAAUGGUGCCCAGAAACAGAAUGAGAAGUAAUGAGCAGAAACUGAAAUACAGAAAAUUCUUUCAGAACACAUGAACAAGCUUCUUUGCUGGGAGGGAGACUGCAUACCCUAGAGAGGUUGUGAAGAUGCUUAAAGCCAUCUGGAUGCAGUUCUGGGUAAUGUGAUCUAGAGGAUCAUGAUUGAUUGAAAAGAGAAGACAGAAUAAUCACCAGAAGUUUCUUCCAAUCUCGGUCAUUUUGUAAUUCAGUGAUUAUUUCUACCUCAUACGACAAAAUAUAUAUCCUGAUAAUUCCC